UUAUGGCCAUAUCACAUUGAAACACUGGUUCCUGUACGAUCACCAAAGUUAAGCCAAGUUGAGCCAGGUCAGUACCUAGAUGAGUGUCUGCUUGGGAAUACCAGGUGCUGUAAG
This is a non-coding RNA of Acanthosepion pharaonis, 114 nucleotides long. Lineage: Eukaryota; Metazoa; Mollusca; Cephalopoda; Sepiida; Sepiidae. The record is from the annotation of a GenBank genome assembly.